Molecule: ribosomal RNA, 495 nt
Filed under: uncultured bacterium
Lineage: Bacteria
Description: partial 16S ribosomal RNA
Rfam family: Bacterial small subunit ribosomal RNA
Source: RNAcentral
GACGAACGCUGGCGGCGUGCCUAAUACAUGCAAGUAGAACGCUGAAGGAGGAGCUUGCUUCUCUGGAUGAGUUGCGAACGGGUGAGUAACGCAUAGGUAACCUGCCUGGUAGCGGGGGAUAACUAUUGGAAACGAUAGCUAAUACCGCAUAAGAGUAGAUGUUGCAUGACAUUUGCUUAAAAGGUGCAAUUGCAUCACUACCAGAUGGACCUGCGUUGUAUUAGCUAGUUGGUGGGGUAACGGCUCACCAAGGCGACGAUACAUAGCCGACCUGAGAGGGUGAUCGGCCACACUGGGACUGAGACACGGCCCAGACUCCUACGGGAGGCAGCAGUAGGGAAUCUUCGGCAAUGGACGGAAGUCUGACCGAGCAACGCCGCGUGAGUGAAGAAGGUUUUCGGAUCGUAAAGCUCUGUUGUAAGAGAAGAACGAGUGUGAGAGUGGAAAGUUCACACUGUGACGGUAUCUUACCAGAAAGGGACGGCUAACUACGUG